UCUUUCCAGGGGUCGGCUCGACAAAGCUUCUUCGUGGGUGGAGUCAAUUUUAAAGAUAUCUAUCUAACAGGAGUGAACCGCGCCCGUCUCCUUCUUCUGCGGAUUGCGUAUAGCGUGUACGUACCGGCGGAGAACGCAAGGGUAAAAGUAGCAGGAGAACAAGAACUCAAGUAAGACGUUCAGGCUGCUACUAUGAGAGUGCGUUCGUUUCGGCGAGAAGAGGUCGCUGUUCGAGCAGAGGUUCCCGCCCCUGAAACGAGAGCCGAAGAAGAGCGGCUGCUCGAGGUUGUGCUCGAAUAUGGAACCGCAUACCAUGUUGUGGUAGGGACGUGCGUGGCAGCACACCCAGCGGUUGGCACUGUCGGGCUAGCGGCGGAGAAGCAGGCGCUGCGAGCGGUAGUGUUUGUCAAGACUGGACCACGACAGCCUGCGGGUUCCGGAGCGAAGAACCCGCUGGUUUUGUUUGUAGCACCGACCUCCUCGACCUUGACGGCGCCACGAAGAGCUGUGCCCAUUGAAGCAGGAAGCGAGCGGGUUGCCGUGGAUGUAUACCGUUUCGAAGCUAGUAGGGUGGCUGUGGGAGUAAGGUUCGUACUUCAAGCACCGCUCGAUGCCCCGUGUCCACCAACCCGCAGAGUAACGAACCUUCUCGAGCCUACUGGGUAGGAGGCCCCUGAAGAGGACGCCGGAACUAGGAUGGAGGGGUCGGGAAGUCUACGAGUAAGCCUUGCCUAGGUUCGACAUGAUGGCUCCACACACCUUACCGCGCUGACACAGGCCGCCGUGUAUGAGUUCGUUGCUGCUGAGGUAUCACAUGGUUCAUUUGCAGCCCGUUCCCCCACUCCAUAGGAACUGGGAGUUACAGAGGCUGCCGAGCGGAGAGUGCGCGUAGCACGAACUCGUGUGUCCGUUCAACUGCAGAGAAUCGACCUAGUUGGUCAGUACCCAUCAGUAGCCAAGUGCGGGGCUGCGACGGACACCGUAGAUGAGGAGCACACCUGGCAAGCCUAUGACGCUAAAGUGAUUCCGUCAUGGCCACACGGUCACGGAGCUACCCAAGGUCGGAUUGCCAGAACUGCAAAGCUCACCUACGGCCUCUUGUCUUUGUGACUGUACGUCGUUCGUUUCAGUAAAACACCGGAACGGACCUUACUUCCAGGGACUGUUCAGAAACGUAUAUGGGUUGUCCUCGAAACUGCUAACAUGGCGACUCACGUUAUCGCUAACGAGGACAUGUCGUAUACGAAUAGCGUCAAACUCGUCGCAGUAACGAUCCCAGUCGGACGGUGCCACGGACCAAACCUUUCCCCUCGAAUAGCUGUGCCCCUUCAUGUUGCCAUUGUGAAGAAAAUGACGUCCCUGUAUGGGAUUGAAUCCACUCUUGGACAUGGAGGCCGAACGGCUGUGGUUACCAGCUUUCUUCUUUUGUAACGAUUUCUAUUAUGAGGGUUAAUAUAGUAAGAACAACUAUGAAUGUAAAUAUUGAGAAUACUUCUACAAGUUUAUGUCUCCAUUAGCUGUUUUAUUUCCCUAGGAUUUCUCUGUUUAGGAUCCCGUGAAAUCGAGAAGGUCACUUUAGUGUCUGUUUUAGUAUCUUAAGGGUAAAUAGUCGAAGCUUCUGCAACAACGGCGUUGGUUGUUAAAGAGACUGAGUUUGGUUUAACCUUACCCUCCAAAACCGUUUCAAAUGUUCCCUUACUAACUACCACCAUUUCUCCAACGAUAGUUUUCCGAAUCACUCCCAAGAUCCGUUCCCUAUCUCCUCAAGUUUUUACUCUAACAAGACAAAAGAUUCGAUGUUGUGUCUUUGGAUCAAUCUGAGGAACCAACAACGUAAGUAUCUCUACUCUCUGAUGAUUAGAUACUUAUAAACGCAUUGUUUUCAAACUACGGAAGUAUAAACUACGAUGUUCUGUUGUACAAAACCUAACCGGAUGCGCGAAAUUUUAUUAAUUUCCUCAUCGUUCUCCAGAAGAAAUAGAGGUAGUUCUAAGUUCCAAUUGUUAUUAAGUAUCUCUGGAGUUUCGUUCGUUGUAUGAUAACCUGUGUCUUUACUUAGGGUUUUAUAGUCUAAAACCGUACCGUUGUUAAAAACCACUUUUAGUCGUUGUUCCUUUGUGACGUGCCCAACGACCCUGUAUCAUUCAUUGUUUUCAUGAACGGUUGGGUAUUAUGAUAUUUAGAAUACCGGAUCAAACUAGUCAAAAAUACAUGAAACGGCGACUUUAAUAAGUUUGUUACCAAUGUACAGUGGCCUUAUAUACUACCUUCCAAGUAAAAGACACUUCAGCCUGUGGAUAUCGAAACCACAAGAAGAGAACCUCUAACAUUCACCGAACUUCUAAUCGAGUCGCGUUGAGUGUUACUUGAUAGGUUCGGAAUGUUUAAAACGUACCUUUAAUACCCUUCUACCUUUUCGUACGCUCAACCAGCUGAGAAGUUAAAAACUCUGUACGGGUGAGGUACUUCAAGAUGCUACAUAGGUACAUCCUGAGAACACACAACUUCUGGUAGGCUUACUAUCCGGUGAUUACAGAAGACAAUAUAAAUCGAACCUCUUACUUUCACGUGAUGACGGUAGUGGUUUCGUUGGAGAUAUAAAACGUGUUUAUUUAACGUUUUGUUUUCUUUGCUCCCUAAUAUGCCUCUUGAGAUACUUAUGUUAGUGAUAGUGUUGUGAUGUCCCAGCGAUCUAGAAACCGUUAAACUUCAUAUAAAUUUUAAGUUAGAUAGAUCAACAACAUAUACAGUUUAAAAUUAGAAACACCACCUGAUCAACUUCUUUUAUACGGGAUCUCCGUUAUUAUUACAAUAAUAAAAUAAA
This 2824-nucleotide ribosomal RNA is filed under the name Triticum aestivum (bread wheat). Its description in RNAcentral is "partial small subunit ribosomal RNA". Lineage: Eukaryota; Viridiplantae; Streptophyta; Magnoliopsida; Poales; Poaceae. The record is from RNAcentral.